GCCUUCGUGGUGUAGCGGUCAGCACGUUUGACGCGUAACCGAGAGGUCCAUGGUUCGAUUCCUGGCGAAGGCG
This is a non-coding RNA of Stegodyphus mimosarum, 73 nucleotides long. NCBI's taxonomy places the organism in Eukaryota, Metazoa, Arthropoda, Arachnida, Araneae, Eresidae. The record is from Rfam.